Molecule: long non-coding RNA, 800 nt
Organism: Cucumis sativus (cucumber)
Lineage: Eukaryota; Viridiplantae; Streptophyta; Magnoliopsida; Cucurbitales; Cucurbitaceae
Exons: 2
Source: RefSeq, a predicted model, not a curated record
UCUCUCUCAUCACUUAGUUCUAUUAUUCUAAUUGGGAUUGGUGAAAAAAAUAAUAAAUAAAUAAAUAGAAAGGUUUGAAUUUUUUUUUUGCUAUAAGUAUAGUAGCCAUAUUGAGGGCUUUUCAUAUCAUAUCAUAUGCACAACUCAUGUCUCUUCUUCUUUCCCCCAUCACUUUCCCUCUCAAUUUUCUCUCCUCCCAAACACCAAACACCAGUUUCCAUAUCCCUUUUUGAUCCUCUUUGUAUUCUUCCACGGCUUUCUUGAACUGCAUUUCAUUAUCUCUCGUUUUCUUCGAAUUAUAUCCUUUUACACAAUACAUAUAUAUAUAUAUAUAUACAUAUUCCUCUUCCUAUGUAUUUCAAUGGCUGCAGUUCAAUAAAGCUGUGGGAAGAUACAAUAAAAGGAUCAACAAAAACAAAAAAAAAACAAGAAUUCUUCUUCUUCUUCUUCUUCUUCUUCUUCUUCAACCUAUGAAGAACGACUUGUAGGGUUCCUUUACAAAAAAUUGCAGGCUACAACCAAACAAACAGAAGAAAGGAACAAGGAAAGCAAUAAAAAAGAAAUAAAGAAGAAGAAAUUUCCCCAUUUGAUGGAAAUUAAAAAACAAAGAAUACAUAUUAUUUUUAUAAGAUGUAGAGAAAAAUAUAUUAAUUAAUUAUCUGUAUUUGUACUACCAUAUAUCUCUUCGUGUAUAUAUAUAUAAAUGUAGCUCUCUAUAAAGUAGCAACAAGUCACAGUCCAAUUUAAUUUACUGUCUCUUAUUUCCUCUCAUACAUAUAACAAAAAUGUUUCUUAUUUCA